RNAcentral lists this transfer RNA (73 nucleotides) under Marmota monax (woodchuck). RNAcentral describes it as "tRNA.Ala". It matches the Rfam family "tRNA". From Rfam's summary of the family: Transfer RNA (tRNA) molecules are approximately 80 nucleotides in length. Their secondary structure includes four short double-helical elements and three loops (D, anti-codon, and T loops). Further hydrogen bonds mediate the characteristic L-shaped molecular structure. tRNAs have two regions of fundamental functional importance: the anti-codon, which is responsible for specific mRNA codon recognition, and the 3' end, to which the tRNAs corresponding amino acid is attached (by aminoacyl-tRNA synthetases). tRNAs cope with the degeneracy of the genetic code in two manners: having more than one tRNA (with a specific anti-codon) for a particular amino acid; and 'wobble' base-pairing, i.e. permitting non-standard base-pairing at the 3rd anti-codon position. The record is from RNAcentral. Lineage: Eukaryota; Metazoa; Chordata; Mammalia; Rodentia; Sciuridae.
UGGGGCUAUAGCUCAGUGGUAAAGCGCUUGCCUAGCAUGCAGGAAGCACUGGGUUCGAUUCUCAGCACCACAA